GACAGAGGUGCCAAGCGUUAGGCGGAAUCACUGGGCUUAAAGCGUGUGUAGGCGGAAUUGUAAGUACCUUGUGAAAUCCCACGGCUCAACCGUGGAACUGCUCGGUAUACUGCUUUUCUUGAGCCACUUAGGGGCUGUCGGAACAAACGGUGGAGCGGUGAAAUGCGUAGAUAUGUGGAGGAACACCUGUGGCGAAGGCGCCUUGCUGGCCAAUUUCUGACGCUGGGGCGCGAAAGCGUGGGGAGCAAACAGG
This 253-nucleotide ribosomal RNA is filed under the name uncultured bacterium. RNAcentral's name for it is "partial 16S ribosomal RNA". It matches the Rfam family "Bacterial small subunit ribosomal RNA", at positions 524 to 776 of the family's 1533-position model. The record is from RNAcentral.